GACGAACGCUGGCGGCGUGCUUAACACAUGCAAGUCGAACGGAAAGGCCCUGCUUUUGUGGGGUGCUCGAGUGGCGAACGGGUGAGUAACACGUGAGUAACCUGCCCUUGACUUUGGGAUAACUUCAGGAAACUGGGGCUAAUACCGGAUAGGAGCUCCUGCUGCAUGGUGGGGGUUGGAAAGUUUCGGCGGUUGGGGAUGGACUCGCGGCUUAUCAGCUUGUUGGUGGGGUAGUGGCUUACCAAGGCUUUGACGGGUAGCCGGCCUGAGAGGGUGACCGGCCACAAUGGGACUGAGAUACGGCGCAGAAUCCUACGGGAGGCAGCAGGGGGGAGUAUUGCGCAGUGGGCGGAAGUCUGAUGCGGCAGCGCCGCGUGCGGGAUGACGGCCUUCGGGUUGUGAACAGCUUUCGAAUGUGACGAAGCGUGCGUGACGGUAAUGGGUAAAGAAGCACCGGCUAACUACGUG
This 468-nucleotide ribosomal RNA is filed under the name uncultured bacterium. Its description in RNAcentral is "partial 16S ribosomal RNA". It matches the Rfam family "Bacterial small subunit ribosomal RNA", at positions 28 to 507 of the family's 1533-position model. The record is from RNAcentral.